CAUCAAGACCCCUCUCAAGGCUGUAAAUGUUCGUACUGAAUCAAGAGAAAUUAAGGUGUUGAAUGAUUUGAGUGCAUAAAUUAGUGAUAACGUUAAGAUACAUAUAUUUAAUAUUUUUCCAUUAAUAUUCUUUACUUCAAGCCAACCCAAAAAGAAUUAGCCAGCCUUUUAAGGUCAUUUGGGACAUACUAAAGCAUCAUACAAUAUCAACCAUACUUGCCCAUAUGAUGUAAGUGAACUGGAUCCAAUAUGGGGGGAAAUAAUCGUCCCGGGAAUGGCACCAGAUCUGUCUGCGAUCAAAUCAUUGGUUCCAACAGGCACUUAUCGUUUUGUUUUCACGGUUACAGAAGGAAUUUCCAAUACAUGGUUAUAUACCAUUUCGAGUUACUGGCAAACUUUCAAGUGCCCUACUUGAGUGAUUGAAGCAUACAAGCAUUCAUCUUAGA
Hermetia illucens (black soldier fly) is the source of this 446-nucleotide long non-coding RNA. RefSeq lists it as uncharacterized. NCBI's taxonomy places the organism in Eukaryota, Metazoa, Arthropoda, Insecta, Diptera, Stratiomyidae. The transcript is spliced from 3 exons. The record is from RefSeq and is a predicted model, not a curated record.